Molecule: unclassified non-coding RNA, 105 nt
Filed under: soil metagenome
Description: partial internal transcribed spacer 1
Source: RNAcentral
GUGAACGCCCUCACGGGCUUAUACUAUCCAAACCUCUGUGAACCGUGCCCUUCGGGGCUAUCUUACAAACAUGGUGUAAUGAACGUCAUAUAUCAUAACAAAACA